GGCCCAGAUCGUUUACCGUGAAAAAAUUAGAGUGUUCAAAGCAGGCAGAUCCAAUUUUCUGCCACCGAAUACAUUAGCAUGGGAUAAUGGAAUAGGACCCUGUCCUCCUAUUUUCAGUUGGUUUUGGCAGCGCGAGGACUAGGGUAAUGAUUAAUAGGGAUAGUUGGGGGCAUUAAUAUUUAAUUGUCAGAGGUGAAAUUCUUGGAUUUAUGAAAGAUUAACUUCUGCGAAAGCAUCUGCCAAGGAUGUUUUCAUUAAUCAAGAACGAAAGUUAGGGGAUCGAAGACGAUCAGAUACCGUCGUAGUCUUAACCAUAAACGAUGCCGACCAGCGAUUAGGAGACGUUGAAUACAAAACACCACCAUCGGCGCGGUCGUCCCUGGCUCGUCGUCUCACGACGGCGGGCGGGGGCGGCUUAGCCCGAUGGCACCGGUGAAUGACUCCCCUAGCAGCUUGUGAGA
This 461-nucleotide ribosomal RNA is filed under the name Acanthamoeba sp. RNAcentral's name for it is "partial small subunit ribosomal RNA". It matches the Rfam family "Eukaryotic small subunit ribosomal RNA", at positions 740 to 1095 of the family's 1831-position model. RNAcentral also lists the same sequence under 1 other name. Lineage: Eukaryota; Discosea; Longamoebia; Acanthamoebidae. The record is from RNAcentral.